GUGAAUCAUCGAAUUUUUGAACGCAAAUUGCACUAACUGGUAUUCCGGAGAGUAUGCCUGUUUGAGGGUCAGUGUAAAUAAAAAUCGGAGUGGUUGCUGCCUUUCGUGGUGAUGCACCGGAUUUGGGUCGUCUGGCUUUCGGUUAAGUGAACUAAAAUUUUGCAUGAUUUUUUUCGAUCGUAUUUAAAUGAUAUCACGUAAGUUUGGGAUAUAGUAUACUAGGUGUGGUAAUCCUCACGAUAUGCGC
Molecule: unclassified non-coding RNA, 247 nt
Filed under: Glomus sp.
Lineage: Eukaryota; Fungi; Glomeromycota; Glomeromycetes; Glomerales; Glomeraceae
Description: partial contains 5.8S ribosomal RNA and internal transcribed spacer 2
Rfam family: 5.8S ribosomal RNA (bases 1-71)
Source: RNAcentral